UUGAUUCUAUGAGGUCUAAUUACGAUGCUUUAAUGUUAAUUAUGGUUUUUGAUCCAUGAAUUUGAGUUGUGAAAUAAAGCUUUAUCUCAAAUUAUGAACUUGAGUUUUUUAUCUGAUAUUUACAAAAGACCUGGUUUUAGGUAGGAUACAAUGGAAUUAAUAAGAUCCAAGCUUUGGGUAUGAUUGAUGGGUGAUGGAUGAUUACUGAGUUAGCUUUGAGUCUUGAAAUAAAUCUUUAUGUCAAAUUGUGAACUUGAGUUUAGCUGAUAUUACUAUCGAUCUGGUCCUAAAUAGCAUACCAUGAAAUUAAUAAGAUUCAAGCUUGUGUAAAAUAAAAAAAUGAUGGAUUGUGAUUAAUCUGGCCUUUGAUCCAAGAGAAUGAGAAUGUGUCCAGGUUGUGGAUAUGAACAUUGGGAAAUUUCUGCAGCUGGCAGCUCUAUAUAUUUGAUCAAAGUUAACAUCUCCGUGUUAUGCUUUGUUUACUCUCUCUUGAAACCUUAGAUUCAGGUAUUAACAGUGGAAAAGACUGGAAUGUGUAUUAGAUUCUCAUAUUGGUUCUGAAAAAUUAUACCUGCGACUACUGAUUCACAGGCAGAUGCAAAUGUUUCUGUCCUCUGGAUGUUCAAAUAAUAGGCUUCCAACUUUUUGACUUCUUUACUUAUUCCAACUUUGUUAAGUUCUCUAUCAUACUACUUUGAGCUGACUAGUUGUUUCGGUUUUCUUUUGUUCCCUUGAAAAAUCUGGGAAGUUACACAUUGUAUCUCUAGCAUUAAAAUAGAACACAGUUAAAUUUCUUUGACCUCAUUUGCUGCCAUAUAAGAUCGUAGGUUUCCGGCCUUGGACUUUGUAAUAUGAUUUUGAUGAAGUAAUUGUAUGCUCAUUUUGAAAACAAUGGCCUUUCUAAUUAAAUCAACUGGGAAAGUAGUGAUGAUUUACAUAUUCUCUUCAUCUUUGCAGGUCUGGGCAGCCGGUUUUGCUGCUGCUAUACUGAAGAAACAGAGCUCUUUAGUAAAUGGAUGAUUACUGAGUUAGCUUUGAGUCUUGAAAUAAAUCUUUAUGUCAAAUUGUGAACUUGAGUUUAGCUGAUAUUACUAUCGAUCUGGUCCUAAAUAGCAUACCAUGAAAUUAAUAAGAUUCAAGCUUGUGUAAAAUAAAAAAAUGAUGGAUUGUGAUUAAUCUGGCCUUUGAUCCAAGAGAAUGAGAAUGUGUCCAGGUUGUGGAUAUGAACAUUGGGAAAUUUCUGCAGCUGGCAGCUCUAUAUAUUUGAUCAAAGUUAACAUCUCCGUGUUAUGCUUUGUUUACUCUCUCUUGAAACCUUAGAUUCAGGUAUUAACAGUGGAAAAGACUGGAAUGUGUAUUAGAUUCUCAUAUUGGUUCUGAAAAAUUAUACCUGCGACUACUGAUUCACAGGCAGAUGCAAAUGUUUCUGUCCUCUGGAUGUUCAAAUAAUAGGCUUCCAACUUUUUGACAUCUUUACUUAUUCCAACUUUGUUAAGUUCUCUAUCAUACUACUUUGAGCUGACUAGUUGUUUCGGUUUUCUUUUGUUCCCUUGAAAAAUCUGGGAAGUUACACAUUGUAUCUCUAGCAUUAAAAUAGAACACAGUUAAAUUUCUUUGACCUCAUUUGCUGCCAUAUAAGAUCGUAGGUUUCCGGCCUUGGACUUUGUAAUAUGAUUUUGAUGAAGUAAUUGUAUGCUCAUUUUGAAAACAAUGGCCUUUCUAAUUAAAUCAACUGGGAAAGUAGUGAUGAUUUACAUAUUCUCUUCAUCUUUGCAGG
RNAcentral lists this long non-coding RNA (1777 nucleotides) under Gossypium barbadense (sea-island cotton). RNAcentral describes it as "long non-coding RNA (GBAR_LNC019766)". Lineage: Eukaryota; Viridiplantae; Streptophyta; Magnoliopsida; Malvales; Malvaceae. The record is from RNAcentral.